AGUGGGUUCAGCGGAUCCAGAGCAUGACCUAUGACAACGGCGCCGGCUAUAUGUUCGCCUACACCAUGGACGGCAUCGCGGUGGCGGUGCUCAACCCGAAACAGAUCGGCACCAGCCAUCUCGAUAAUGUUGUGAACGGACGCAAGUCGACCCGCGAAAUGCGCGACGGUGUCGCCGCCAAGGGCGAUGUCACGAUCCACUACUUCUGGCAGAAGCCCGGUCA
Molecule: unclassified non-coding RNA, 223 nt
Filed under: Hevea brasiliensis (rubber tree)
Lineage: Eukaryota; Viridiplantae; Streptophyta; Magnoliopsida; Malpighiales; Euphorbiaceae
Source: RNAcentral